RNAcentral lists this ribosomal RNA (542 nucleotides) under uncultured Glomeromycotina. RNAcentral's name for it is "SSU rRNA". It matches the Rfam family "Eukaryotic small subunit ribosomal RNA", at positions 555 to 1098 of the family's 1831-position model. The record is from RNAcentral. Lineage: Eukaryota; Fungi; Glomeromycota.
GCAAGUCUGGUGCCAGCAGCCGCGGUAAUUCCAGCUCCAAUAGCGUAUAUUAAAGUUGUUGCAGUUAAAAAGCUCGUAGUUGAAUUUCGAGAUCAGUACGCUGGUCGUGCCUUCGGUAUGUACUGGUGUCACUGGUUUCUCCCUUCUGAAGAACCGUUAUGUCAUUAAGUUGGUGUGGCGGGGAAUCAGGACUGUUACUUUGAAAAAAUUAGAGUGUUUAAAGCAGGCUCGCGCUUGAAUACAUUAGCAUGGAAUAAUGAAAUAGGACGUUUGACCCUAUUUUGUUGGUUUCUAGGAUCGACGUAAUGAUUAAUAGGGAUAGUUGGGGGCAUUAGUAUUCAAUUGUCAGAGGUGAAAUUCUUGGAUUUAUUGAAGACUAACUACUGCGAAAGCAUUUGCCAAGGAUGUUUUCAUUAAUCAAGAACGAAAGUUAGGGGAUCGAAGACGAUCAGAUACCGUCGUAGUCUUAACCAUAAACUAUGCCGACUAGGGAUCGGAUGACGUUAAUUUUUUAAUGACUCAUUCGGCGCCUUACGGGAAAC